This 498-nucleotide ribosomal RNA is filed under the name uncultured bacterium. RNAcentral's name for it is "partial 16S ribosomal RNA". It matches the Rfam family "Bacterial small subunit ribosomal RNA", at positions 30 to 523 of the family's 1533-position model. The record is from RNAcentral.
AUUGAACGCUGGCGGCAUGCUUUACACAUGCAAGUCGAACGGCAGCGCGGGGCAACCUGGCGGCGAGUGGCGAACGGGUGAGUAAUAUAUCGGAACGUACCCAGAAGUGGGGGAUAACGUAGCGAAAGUUACGCUAAUACCGCAUACGAUCUACGGAUGAAAGUGGGGGACCUUCGGGCCUCAUGCUUGUGGAGCGGCCGAUAUCUGAUUAGCUAGUUGGUAGGGUAAAGGCCUACCAAGGCGACGAUCAGUAGCUGGUCUGAGAGGACGACCAGCCACACUGGGACUGAGACACGGCCCAGACUCCUACGGGAGGCAGCAGUGGGGAAUGUUGGACAAUGGGCGCAAGCCUGAUCCAGCAAUGCCGCGUGAGUGAAGAAGGCCUUCGGGUCGUAAAGCUCUUUUGUCAGGGAAGAAACGGCGAUUUCUAAUAAAGAUUGCUAAUGACGGUACCUGAAGAAUAAGCACCGGCUAACUACGUGCCAGCCGCCGCAGUAA